CCUACGGGAGGCAGCAGUGGGGAAUAUUGCACAAUGGGGGAAACCCUGAUGCAGCGACGCCGCGUGAGCGAAGAAGUAUUUCGGUAUGUAAAGCUCUAUCAGCAGGGAAGAAAAUGACGGUACCUGAGUACGAAGCUCCGGAGAAAUACGUGCCAGCAGCCGCGGUAUUACGUAGGGUGAAAGCGUUAUCCGGAUUUACUGGGCGUAAAGGUAGCGUAGGCGGCCUGCCAAGUCGGAUGUGAAAUACCGGGGCUCAACCCCGGGACUGCAUUGGAAACUGGCAGGCUGGAGUGCAGUAGAGGGGGGUAGAAUUCCUGGUGUAGCGGUGAAAUGCGUAGAGAUCUGGAGGAACACCAGUGGCGAAGGCGGCCUGCUGGACAGUGACUGACGCUGAGGCGCGAAAGCGUGGGGAGCAAACAGGAUUAGAUACCCGAGUAGUC
RNAcentral lists this ribosomal RNA (440 nucleotides) under uncultured bacterium. Its description in RNAcentral is "partial 16S ribosomal RNA". It matches the Rfam family "Bacterial small subunit ribosomal RNA", at positions 338 to 795 of the family's 1533-position model. The record is from RNAcentral.